CUGAUCGAAUCGCUGCUCUGGCAUCUCAAACACUUGCCACCGCUUCUACUUGGCCGUUCAGUGCGCUCAGUUCGACUUAGUAUCUCGAUUAGCGACCACCACGUCGGUGUGGCGGAUACCUGGUGUUCCUGCUGCAGGGCGUGACUGGAACGGGGAAUCCCCGAUUCCGGCAUUGGCAUUGGCACCGCGAGGGCUGAGGCUGAAACUGAGCCCGGCCGGAGGAGCGUCGUCAGGCUGAUCGCAACCAGAACCACUGUGCACCACCAACACAAUGUGCAGCGGGCCCCCGCGGCGCCACUGGCUGCAUGCGUGGGGGCCACAGCGUCGUCCGCCGCCGGCGAUCGGAUUGUUUACGCCGUGCUUUCGUCCGGAAAUGGCCCAAAUCGCAUGGUCAAUUGCGGUGCAAAUACCCGAUCAAUGUGCCGUGAUUAUAACUGCAAGAGAGAGAG
This is a non-coding RNA of Drosophila melanogaster (fruit fly), 449 nucleotides long. Lineage: Eukaryota; Metazoa; Arthropoda; Insecta; Diptera; Drosophilidae. The record is from Ensembl.